UACGAAGGGGGCUAGCGUUGCUCGGAAUCACUGGGCGUAAAGGGUGCGUAGGCGGGUCUUUAAGUCAGGGGUGAAAUCCUGGAGCUCAACUCCAGAACUGCCUUUGAUACUGAAGAUCUUGAGUUCGAGAGAGGUGAGUGGAACUGCGAGUGUAGAGGUGAAAUUCGUAGAUAUUCGCAAGAACACCAGUGGCGAAGGCGGCUCACUGGCCCGAUACUGACGCUGAGGCACGAAAGCGUGGGGAGCAAAUAGGAUUAGAUACCCGUGUAGUCC
This 273-nucleotide ribosomal RNA is filed under the name uncultured Bradyrhizobium sp. RNAcentral describes it as "partial 16S ribosomal RNA". It matches the Rfam family "Bacterial small subunit ribosomal RNA", at positions 524 to 796 of the family's 1533-position model. The record is from RNAcentral. Lineage: Bacteria; Pseudomonadati; Pseudomonadota; Alphaproteobacteria; Hyphomicrobiales; Nitrobacteraceae.